GACGAACGCUGGCGGCGUGCUUAACACAUGCAAGUCGAACGGAAAGGCCCUGCUUUUGUGGGGUGCUCGAGUGGCGAACGGGUGAGUAACACGUGAGUAACCUGCCCUUGACUUUGGGAUAACUUCAGGAAACUGGGGCUAAUACCGGAUAGGAGCUCCUGCUGCAUGGUGGGGGUUGGAAAGUUUCGGCGGCUGGGGAUGGACUCGCGGCUUAUCAGCUGGUUGGUGGGGUAGUGGCUUACCAAGGCUUUGACGGGUAGCCGGCCUGAGAGGGUGACCGGCCACAUUGGGACUGAGAGACGGCCCAGACUCCUACGGUAGGCAGCAGUGGGGAAUAUUGCACAAUGGGCGGAAGCCUGAUGCAGCAACGCCGCGUGCGGGAUGACGGCCUUCGGGUUGUAAACCGCUUUCGCCUGUGACGAAGCGUGAGUGACGGUAAUGGGUAAAGAAGCACCGGCUAACUACGUG
RNAcentral lists this ribosomal RNA (468 nucleotides) under uncultured bacterium. RNAcentral describes it as "partial 16S ribosomal RNA". It matches the Rfam family "Bacterial small subunit ribosomal RNA", at positions 28 to 507 of the family's 1533-position model. The record is from RNAcentral.